AUGCGCCGCGCCCGGCCCGGUGCUGCGCGCGGCGGAGCCCCGCGGAUGCCGGCGGCGGGGGGCGGCCAGGCCGGGGCGGGCCCGCACGGCGGACCGCUGCGGCACCGGGAGUCCCGUCGGCUGCCGGCGGCGGCGCCGCGCCCCGCCACCCCUCCCGCUGCGGCUCGCUCGGCCGCGCUGGCUCUCGUCACCCUCCUCAGCUUCGCUUCCCGCUUCUACCGCCUGCCGGAGCCGCCGCACGUCUGUUGGGAUGAAACUCAUUUUGGGAAGAUGGGCAGUUACUACAUUAAUCGGACCUUCUUCUUUGAUGUCCACCCCCCUCUGGGGAAGAUGCUGAUUGGACUUGCUGGCUACCUUAGUGGAUAUGAUGGCACAUUUCCUUUCCAAAAGCCAGGAGACAGAUAUGAGCAGCACAACUACGUGGGAAUGAGAGGGUUCUGUGCGUUCCUUGGUUCCUGCCUGGUUCCCUUCGCCUACCUCACAGUGCUGGAACUGUCAAAGUCACUGCCAGCAGCAUUACUCACAGCUUUCAUCCUUAUUUUUGAUACAGGAUGUAUUACUUUGUCCCAAUAUAUUCUACUGGAUCCCAUUCUCAUGUUCUUCCUCAUGGGAGCUGUUCUGAGUAUGGUGAAAUGCAACGGCUGUGCGAAUAGGCCAUUUUCUGCUUCCUGGUGGUUCUGGCUGAGUCUGACUGGCGUGAACCUUGCUGGGGCAAUGGGCGUAAAGUUUGUUGGCCUUUUUGUAGUCCUCUUGGUUGGCCUGAACACAAUCUAUGACCUAUGGGACUUGCUGGGGAACCUCAGCCUGUCACUGGUCAUGUUUGGGAAGCAUUUACUGGCUCGUGUACUCUGCCUCAUCCUGCUCCCGCUUGCCCUCUACACGGCUAUGUUUGCUGUUCAUUUUACAGUAUUAAAUAAAAGUGGUCCUGGGGAUGGUUUCUUCAGCUCAGCAUUUCAGUCCCAGCUGAUUGGGAACAAUCUUCAUAAUGUCUCUGUUCCAGAGCACUUGGCGUAUGGGUCUGUUGUCACAAUGAAGAACCUUCGGAUGGCAGGAGGAUACCUUCACUCCCACUGGCACCUCUACCCGGAGGGCAUUGGGGCUCGCCAGCAGCAGGUCACUGCCUACUUGCAUAAAGAUUUGAAUAACCUGUGGAUUAUAAAGAAACCUGAUUUGGAUACAGAUCUGUCAGACCCCUCGAGCCCUGUGGAAUUUGUGAGGCACGGAGAUAUUAUUCGUCUGGAACAUAAAGAAACUUCUAGAAAUCUUCACAGUCACCAGCAUGAGGCUCCCCUGACGAGGAAGCAUUUCCAGGUCACUGGCUAUGGAAUAAAUGGAACAGGAGACUCCAAUGACUUCUGGCGGAUCGAAGUGGUAGGCAGAAAGGCUGGGAAGCUCAUCAAAGUCCUACGGAGUCAGGUCCGGCUAAUCCAUGUGGCCACAGGGUGUAUACUGGGCUCUUCUGGAAAGACUCUGCCAAAAUGGGGUUGGGAACAAGUGGAAGUCACCUGCACACCAUACCUGAAGGAGACCCCCAAUUCCCUCUGGAACUUUGAAGAUCACAUUAACCCUAAGUUGCCCAAUAUCAGCCUGGAUGUUUUAAAACCCUCUUUUGCAGAAAUUCUGCUAGAAUCCCACAUGGUUAUGAUUCGGGGAAACAGCGGCCUCAAACCAAAGGACAAUGAAGUUACAUCCAAACCUUGGCACUGGCCCAUCAACUACCAGGGCCUGCGUUUUUCUGGUGUCAAUGAGACCGAUUAUCGGGUUUAUUUGCUGGGGAACCCGGUGAUUUGGUGGCUAAAUCUGGUCACUAUUGGGUUAUAUCUUCUGAUAACAGUUUCCACUGCAGUGGCCCUGAAGAGAGGUGUCCAACUGACAUCUGAACUCAAAGAACUGUCCAGAGUCAUGCUACAUGGUGGAGGGCAGAUCGCGCUGGGCUGGCUCCUUCAUUACCUCCCUUUUUUUAUGAUGGGACGAGUUCUCUACUUUCACCACUACUUUCCUGCCAUGCUUUUUUCCAGCAUGUUGACAGGAAUCACCUGGGACGCUCUACUGAAGUUCUGUGCUGGAUUCCUGUUACCUAGCACUACAGCUAGAAAAGUGUAUGGAGGGGGGUUCCUGGCACUGGUUCUGCUCAUCAUGUACAGCUUCUACCUCUUCCAUCCUCUGUCCUACGGGAUGAUAGGACCCAUGGCCUCUGACCCUAGCAGCCCCAUGGCAGGGCUCCGGUGGAUGGACUCCUGGGAGUUCUAGAGGCAGCAAAGGAAGCCUGGGAACAGUGGAUGAGAAGCAUGAGAUCAGCUGCAUGUCGGGCUGGUUUUGGUGCUUUGGAGACCUGUGACUGUAAAAUGCCCUCUCUGGAGAACGCUGGGUACAGUAGCCCUGUUGCUUUGGCAUUUGUUUGCACUGCCUGCAUUGGAAGAUGCAGAGGAUGAUCAUGAGAAGGUCGUCUUAAAAAGACUCAUGUCCUGAAUCCUUAGGUUAUAUUUCUGGACAACUGGCUGCUUAAAUCUCAAUUCUUUAAAGCAAUAUGUAUCAGUCAAACAGCAGUGGCAUUCCAGCAGCCAGACCAGGACAAGUUGGAGGCUGUGUGUAGUUGCGUGUGUGUGUGUGUGUGUGUGUGUGUCUUCCUUCUUGUAAUUCAAGCACUGUUACUGUUUGAGAGCCAGACAGUGUCUGAGACAUUAGGACUUUUAUCAUGAUUAACAACCUUUCUUACAGCGAGGCUUUUGAAAGCUUCAUGUAAGUAGCUGUGGACCUCCAUUCCACCCUGCCCUGACUGUCUGCAUUUUUUUGUUCUGACCCUGAACUUUUGGAAUUUGACUGAAAGGGGUCUGCUUGAAAUCUCCUGAGCCACUGUGCCUUGCCUGUCUCCUAGGCCCUCUGCAGACAGGGGAGAUGGAGAUUAUUUAUCCCUGUAUACUGCCUUGCUUUCUGGUCACCUUUAAUCAUUUAUAACAAUCACCUGGCGGGCCUGUGCUUAGAGCCACUGUUCCAGCUCAGCACUUAGUAGCUUCUUUGCAGUUCCAUCUGAAACUGUUAAGGAAAUUACAGUGGAAAUAGCAGGUGAUUUAUUUUCUGCCCCAGUAUGCUGUGAAGUCCAGCUUCUUGGGGUUGUACUAGAGACUGAAAUGGUAGCUUGGAAAUUUUACAGACAGCUGUCGUUCAUCUUUUGAUCCCAGCUAUUCCAGUGACAGUACCUGUGCUUUCAGGGGGAAGGCUUCAUCUUACUGAAUGUAGCAUCUGCAAAACUGGCUGUCAGUGCCAUGGUAUCUGUUCACUGUAUUUCAAUAUUGAACAAGUUCCCUCUCAUUAAUGGCUGAACAUCAAAUUACUGUACUGAAGGAAAUGUGAGGCCAGGCAAAAAUUCUUUGUCUGUUAAGAGCCAUUGGAUGUUGAAUCCACCCCUUCCAAGAAAGCAGAAUUCUAUUUAUUAGGUGCCUUUUUUCUGUGUUAGGUCUAUGUUCCUUUUACUCCAUCUCUUCACCCGAUUUCAAUUUCUUGUCACAGUUCAAGGUUGCUAGUUUGUAGCAUCUAACAUGAAGGACACUUGGAUCCCAGCUGUGUUCCUGUCUAAAGAAGUAAUAUUUGCAAAACUCUUUUGUGUAUGUUUCAUUAAAACCAAGCCUUUCAUUUCAGAGUUCUUGCUCUGCUCCUCAGCCUUGCAUCAAAAUUGCAGGUACAGGGAGAGCAGCAGGUGAGGGUGUCUGUCUUGAAACAUGAAUCGUGCGUUCAUUUCUCUUACCAAACUUUGAAUUCUAAUGUAUUUCCUACAACACAGAAGGGCUGCAUUAGCAUAGUGGUUCUGUGGGGGGGACUGAGACUCCAGUCAGACUUGCUUUCAUUCCUCUUCAGUAGAGAUCCAUAGCACUGUUCAGUAAGGCAGCUGCUUGCUAUUGUAAGGCUCUGGCUUGGUAUGUCACAUCUCUCUCAGAAGUUGACUUUUUGAUGCUAACUCCGAUGGUAUGGACCUGUGCUUUUGAUUCUGAAGUUUUUGAGUUAAUCACCUGCUGGUAAUACAUGGUGGGAAGUCAUUGCACUAAUUAGCUACUGGGCUUGAUGAUUCCUUUCCACUUGCUAUUGCAGGAAGUGCUCCCACCUACAUGAGCCAGGGGUUCACAGAGGUGAUAGAUACACAAGAAGGAUGGGGGAGAAGGCUGCAAACUUCUUCAGAUCCUGCUUGAUCUGACGGCCGCUGUGAAUUGUUAACUGUUGGCAAUGUGGCAGGCAGACAGUGCAGUGCUGCCUUUGUAGCAGUGUGAUUCAGCAUCUUCUGGUCUUGGUGAGAUUAUUGCCUUAAUACCUUGCUAUCCUGAAUAUGAGCUUUCCCUAAGGUAGUCUUAUUACCAUGGGGAGGAUUUGCCAGAAGAGCUCAUAAAAGCCAUGAUUUAAAGUGCAGGGUUUUUUUCCAGCACAUACAAUCACCCACUUGCCCUUAACAUUAACAAAACCCCCCCAACAAACCAAACAAACUCUAAGAAGCAUGUGAGUGUUUUGGAAUGACAGUUUCUAACAUUCUUUAUUCAUCAAUUUAAAUCUGUGGGAAAGCAAAAAUUAAUUCGAUAACCUUGGUUACUUCAGUUAUGAAGGGGUUAGCUUUGUAGGAGCUGCCUGAGGAAGGUGAGCCAGUGCGUUCUUUGGCCAGGGUCCCUCUAUCCUUUAUUACUAAUAAUCUUUUGGGUGGGGAUUGGUGGCUGAGUCUGGGGAUUGGCCAGCUGAAAGUAGCAAAUGUUGUGCUCCCAUCCCACCUUCCCGUGCACAAGCCCAGGUUCUGUUUCAAUACGGACAAAGGUUUGUUUUUCUUUAGGACUGCCAUUUCAGGAACCCUCUGAAAGCACUUGGUUGGGAUUGGGACUAUUUCUUAGACCUUGUGUGCUGGUAAGGGGAUGGAGGCAUACAGUGAAAAACAUCUAGCUAUUCCACAAGAGGGAGCAACUUGCAGCAGAAUCUUUUCUUUUGUUUCUCUCUUUUGUUUUAAUCUGGAGUUAGAAGUAAUAAAAGGUAUACAUUUGAAGAUUGUAGAGCAGACAUCUCCUCUGCACCCUCUGAACUCCAAGGGUUGGCUUUUCAGUUAUUUUAGUUAGAAUUUAACCUUCAGUGUUUGGUUCUCAAAACAAAACCUGUAAGGCCAUAGCUGUAUGUAAUAGUAACUUAUUUUGUGAAUUCAAUAAAAUACAAUAAAUGGGAUUCCCUUAGUGACUGACUUAAAAUGUCUCAGUGGUGCAGGUGUGAGGCAAUAGGUGCAGGGCAUUCUUCUUUCUGAAUGGAAUUUGGGCUGCUUCAGUUCAUUUUUUCCAUUUGUGCUUGUGGAAUGAGUUCAAGUUCUCUUUGAGGACUGCUUAUUCAUCUUCUUCCCCAGUCAUGUGGAAGACAGCUAAUGGUGCUUUCUGAGGCCAGAAGAUGCUGUUCUUUGGAGCAGCUGCUCUCUUUGAACUUCGCUUGAUGGGACUCCUUUUAUCACUGGCAAAGUAUUUCAUGAAACUGUAUCUGUGGAUUCAAAUCACAGAAAGCUACAGGCUGCCACGUUCCUUUCUCAUGUGUAAACUCAUAUUUUCAGCUCUUCAGUCUUUGAAGGAUAGAUAGAAGGCUUCUAGGCUCAUCUAGCUUCAUCCUAGACAAUCCAUCCAUCUUAAAAGGUUUCUGUUAACAGUCACUUCAGGACACCAAUGUGCACACACCUGUUCCAGCAGCAUGGACUGGCCUGUCUCCACUAAGUGGACUACUCAUGCUAUCAGAUGAGGAUGUGAUCAUGAGGAGGAUUUGAAUGGAGGUUCCUGUGCCAAAGUUCCUGUCAUGCGCUGCGUACCAGCAUAGUUCACAGCCCUGUGGGUGGGAGGGCAUCUCGUCUGCAUCUCUCUUAUCUGCAGAGAGUUUUCUUUUCCAUCUUAAUUGGAAGGAUGUACUGAUGAACACAGGGCAUUGACAGGAUCUACAUUUUUGUAUCUCCUCUUUGCUUCUGCUUCUUCAGGUAUGCCCAAAGUACAGGAUACACCUUUGCUGCUCCUCCAGUUUUUAGGCUGUGCAUCCUUUUCUUAGGGGUGCCGUACAAGGGGUGGGACAGGACACAUAGGUAUUCAUCCACUCCAGAUACUGUCAUGUGCACUGAGAGCAAAAGCAGAACCUUGUUAUGGAAAGGUAAACAGAUGUGUUAUUUGACAGUAGCUUCCUUAUCUCUCUGAGAAUUGUUUUCAAGGGACUUGAGAGUGUCAACAUAGGAAGCGCAGGCAUUUACUUGAAAUUCUCCAUUGCCAUGCUUAGUGGCUUCCCUUCCAGAGGCCGUGCCUGUGUGACUUACCCUCUGGGUUGGCACUCUGCGCACGAGCACCAUUAUAACACUGUUUCCUCCUCUCAGGAUCCUGCUGGCAAUGUGAAAAUCUGCUUAGCGGUGCCCUGUGCCUCUGCCAGGUGGGGAAUAUAGAGCCCCAAAACUGGAAUGGCUUAGAUGGGUGAGGAGGAGACAACCUCAAGCAGGAAAGGAUCCCACACAUAGAAGCAAUAACACAUGGGCUUUGCUUUGAAAACAGAUGGCUGAGUGCAAAGCUGAAAGGUUGUGAUGCUAUCACAGCCCUGCCAUGAAGGAAUGGAUGCAAUUAAAUGCAGAAUCUUUGUUUUAAUAAAUCACAUCAAAGAUGCUAUUCUCUGAGACUACUGCUGUAGAUCAAAUGAUCGUAGGAGAUGCCCUGGUCGAUAGUGGCAAUUCAAACUGCAAGAAGAAGGGAAAGAACAGACAGAGAUCAGAAAGAAGACAAUCAAUGAGCGCUUCAGAGAUCAGCACCAAUGGCACUUCUGAAACAAGGCAAAUGCAGCAGGGAAACUACAGAGGACGAUCCACAGGGAGUAAGGAUCCUUUCACCAAGCUUUUGUCAUGUUUCAGCAGCUGAAGGAUGAUCCAGUCCAGGAGUAUAAGGACAACUGGAGGAAAAUCCAAGCCCAUGUGCACCAUCCCUAGGUCAGUGAGUUUCUGCAGAAAUCUGCCUCCCCUUUCUCCUAGUGGCCUACAGUGGAUUUUGGAGCAGUCUGUGCUGCUGACCUGAUGGUUCUUCACUCAUGCGAGCUCCAGGGACAGUCUUGUAGAAAUUCAGGAACAUCUCAGAAAAGAGCUGAGCUGCCAGGCUAGGUACGUGGAGUCAGGGGAGCUGGGGACCAUCACAGGAAACCCUCAGACCAUGGAAACAUUUGCUGUGCUCAAUCUUUUGAUGCAUCCUGGGGCUUCCUCAUGCUUGGAGGCUCACAAAACACUUGAACAAGAAGGGAGGUUUGCUUGUUUGUUUUUCCUUGUACUUUAAAUCCUCUCUGGACUCCACUUGUGCUGUCUGCAUCUCAGUGCCAUGGCAGCAGGAGGAACUCUUCUGACAGCUGUGUAGCUGCAAGGGAGAAGCUACUUUGCACACAGGGAAGAACACCACGUCUCCUGAGCCCUUGCUCUUUUAAAUCAUGUGAAUGGUGGUUCAGAUGUUUCUUACCCCUGAGCUCUCCCUGCCUCCCACCUCAAGUCCCUCCCUACAGCUCCCUCCUCCUGCGUUGGAAGGUCUGCGCUGUCACAGGGAAAAAACUGCUGGGUUUAUUAAGGGAGAGGACGGGAGAGGACGUUUACCAGUGCCAGAAAGCAGCAAAAGGAUGGAUUCACUGGUCAGAGGAGCAGGGAAGGUGGGCAAACUGCUCCUGAAUGUGCCCUACCCUCCCCAGAAGGAGUUAUUUAUUGUUGGGGAGCAGGGACGGGAUUAGCUGUCUUAGGUUCUUGGACUCUGCCGAGUGUCAGAAGCAUGGGGUUUGGGUGCCAACAGGUGGGUAGGGCUAUGGCCAGUCCAUUGUCCCUUCCAUCAGCUGGGGCACCUGUAUGUGCCACAGAAGAAGACAUGUCAUGCUUAGCGCUCUCGCUGCUGCUAUAUCUGCUCUGUUCUGACACUUGUGCUUUGUCUGAGUACUCAGCAUGCAGACACCAUCUGCAGCACAGAGGGAAGGUGCAGGGGGGAAGACUUUGGACACGAGCCACCACUUUCCCUUGCCAUCAUGGCUUUACUGCUAUUGUCUGAGGUACCCUUGCCAUCAGGAACAAUGGCUGAACCUGCAUUUUGUUGUUGCCCCGGGUAUGGUGCCUGCAUGGACCUGAGGAAACAUGUCCUACAUCCCAACUAAGCUUUAGGAGCUGAUCAUUCUUAAUGACAUCUUGCUUUUGUGGUGCUUCUCUUCCUCCUCUAUCAGCCAGCUCUAAAUAUAUUCAAAAUGUUGCUAGGCAAAUACUCAGCCUCGGUUGCUGCUCUGACUGCCCAUACGUGCUUCAACUCUGCUCCUCAGUAUCCUGUGGUCUAGGGAGGACUCUUUGCUCUCCUUUCCAGUGCCCUGGCAGCACAGCACUGCCCACCUGUUCCGCUCCCCCUUCCUGUUAGCAGGGUCGGGCUGAACUGUCCAGCCAGGCUCUGGUGAAGCUCCACGUCUGUGGUUGUGACAACUGGCUGAAAUGUUGGAGCAGCUUGUGCAGAUGCACACAGGGUGACAUUUCAUGCUCUUUGCUGGUGCGCUCGAUCAGCUGCAAGGUAGCUAAAGGCUGAUGUUUGCGUUGGCACUACUGGGCUUGUGUUCACCAGCCUGCUCAAAUUAACCUCCUAUUUCCUGCUGCCCUUUCAAGGCUCCUUGCAGCUUCAGCAGUUAUCAUCGCACUAUUUAUCAUCGGUCCCCAUUGUGAAUGUUUCCUUUGCAACCACACAGCUAAGAUGCUGUUUUUAGUGGGAGUGUGUCGUGGACCAGAAGAUGGUGGCCAACAGCAGGAAGCACUGAAGCUCUGUGAGCUGGCAGGUUGCAUGUUCUGACCCCCCCGGCCAUGAGAUGGCCCUGCAGCUGUUGACUUCUUUAUUAUUGAAUGCUUUCUAUUUAUCCUUUGUUUUCUAGGAAUACAGAUGUGUGGAGAUCAUAUGCUUUUGGGCUUGUCCAGGUUAUCAUGAAAGCUAAAAUGCUGUACUUUUAACAGGAACCAUGAUUUAACAGAAGCCAUUUGCAUCUUUCCAGCACUUGGGACCUUUGUCAUUAAGUCUGUUCUAGCAAUGGCAUUCAAAACACAGUAUACCUGGAACAUGAGUUGUUUACUGGCUUGGUAGCCAGCGAUCUGUAAGUAUUUGUGGGGCUCCUUAGUCCCAUCAGACAGUUCAAUUUCUUUGUGAGUGUGUUGGACGCUUCAAGAGCCCAGCUUUAUGACUGGGUUCUCCAGCUUCCUCCAAUGUAUAUAGAGCUUUUCCUAUAGAGCAUCUUGCCUGGUCUGCCCGGGAGUGCGAGGUGUCAAAAGCCUGAGAAAACAGGUAAUUUAUUCUGACACUUGCAGAGACGUCUCUGGUGGCUUCCUGCUGUCACGGCAGUCAGUGCUGUCACUGGCUUUUUAGGAGAAAGGCCCCUGGGAGACAAGCUGGGGCUGGGGCUGAGGAUGUAGCAUUGUGCCUCUGAAUUUGUCUCUUCCCAGGGAUUAUUUUCAGUACCCCGAUGGGAAGAGCCUCCUUUCUGCCUGCACUGAGUCAGCGUGCUCCUGGUUGGGUCAGAGGCUGCUGUCUUCCCUCCUAAUUACAAGAAAUAAGUCUGAUGUAUAGAACCAGAACUUGUAAUAAGAUCAGUGCAAUUGUUGUUUCAGAGCAGAGUGUGAUGGUUUCAGUAGUAUUUGUGCUUUGGCGUUUCUCGCAUCCUCCCGAAAACCUUCGCUUGCACGACUGCUCUGGCUUUCCUGGCUUCUGUUUGUGCUGCUUGAGACCUCGCUGGCUCCUUCUCGCUUUGUUUCCUCCACGCUGCCCGAGUCCCAGGGCCAAAUUAACAGCAGUGCUUCCCUUUGUCUGAACAGUAAAGAGAAGCUGGGUGUUCUGAACAUGUUUGACAAAGAUGACAUGUCUUCUGCUCUGUUGUUAAUAACUUUGCCCGGUGCAGCUGGGUUAAUUAGCUUUAUAUUAAACAUGUUAUCUUGCA
RNA transcript from Falco peregrinus (peregrine falcon), 9936 nucleotides. It is a transcript of the gene named protein O-mannosyltransferase 2, with no coding region annotated. Lineage: Eukaryota; Metazoa; Chordata; Aves; Falconiformes; Falconidae. The record is from RefSeq and is a predicted model, not a curated record. The transcript has 23 exons.